UAGUCAUAUGGUUGUCUCAAAGAUUAAGCCAUGCAUGUCUAAGUAUAAGCAAUUUAUACAGUGAAACUGCGAAUGGCUCAUUAAAUCAGUUAUCGUUUAUUUGAUAGUUCCUUUACUACAUGGUAUAACUGUGGUAAUUCUAGAGCUAAUACAUGCUUAAAAUCUCGACCCUUUGGAAGAGAUGUAUUUAUUAGAUAAAAAAUCAAUGUCUUCGGACCCUUUGAUGAUUCAUAAUAACUUUUCGAAUCGCAUGGCCUUGUGCUGGCGAUGGUUCAUUCAAAUUUCUGCCCUAUCAACUUUCGAUGGUAGGAUAGUGGCCUACCAUGGUUUCAACGGGUAACGGGGAAUAAGGGUUCGAUUCCGGAGAGGGAGCCUGAGAAACGGCUACCACAUCCAAGGAAGGCAGCAGGCGCGCAAAUUACCCAAUCCUAAUUCAGGGAGGUAGUGACAAUAAAUAACGAUACAGGGCCCAUUCGGGUCUUGUAAUUGGAAUGAGUACAAUGUAAAUACCUUAACGAGGAACAAUUGGAGGGCAAGUCUGGUGCCAGCAGCCGCGGUAAUUCCAGCUCCAAUAGCGUAUAUUAAAGUUGUUGCAGUUAAAAAGCUCGUAGUUGAACUUUGGGCCCGGUUGGCCGGUCCGAUUUUUUCGUGUACUGGAUUUCCAACGGGGCCUUUCCUUCUGGCUAACCUUGAGUCCUUGUGGCUCUUGGCGAACCAGGACUUUUACUUUGAAAAAAUUAGAGUGUUCAAAGCAGGCGUAUUGCUCGAAUAUAUUAGCAUGUAAUAUAGACUAGGACGUUUUGCUUCUAUUUUUGUUGAUUUCUAGGAACCAUCGUA
This 837-nucleotide ribosomal RNA is filed under the name Saccharomyces sp. WW-W19. Its description in RNAcentral is "SSU rRNA". It matches the Rfam family "Eukaryotic small subunit ribosomal RNA", at positions 21 to 864 of the family's 1831-position model. Lineage: Eukaryota; Fungi; Ascomycota; Saccharomycetes; Saccharomycetales; Saccharomycetaceae. The record is from RNAcentral.